This 529-nucleotide ribosomal RNA is filed under the name uncultured bacterium. Its description in RNAcentral is "bacterial SSU rRNA". It matches the Rfam family "Bacterial small subunit ribosomal RNA", at positions 981 to 1509 of the family's 1533-position model. The record is from RNAcentral.
UUGACAUCCAGAGAAUUUAGCAGAGAUGCUUUAGUGCCUUCGGGAACUCUGAGACAGGUGCUGCAUGGCUGUCGUCAGCUCGUGUUGUGAAAUGUUGGGUUAACGUCCGCAACGAGCGCAACCCUUAUCCUUUGUUGCCAGCACGUAAUGGUGGGAACUCAAAGGAGACUGCCGGUGAUAAACCGGAGGAAGGUGGGGAUGACGUCAAGUCAUCAUGGCCCUUACGAGUAGGGCUACACUCGUGCUACAAUGGCGUAUACAAAGAGAAGCGACCUCGCGAGAGCAAGCGGACCUCAUAAAGUGCGUCGUAGUCCGGAUUGGAGUCUGCAACUCGACUCCAUGAAGUCGGAAUCGCUAGUAAUCGUAAAUCAGAAUGUUACGGUGAAUACGUUCCCGGGCCUUGUACACACCGCCCGUCACACCAUGGGAGUGGGUUGCAAAAGAAGUAGAUAGCUUAACCUUCGGGAGGGCGUUUACCACUUUGUGAUUCAUGACUGGGGUGAAGUCGUAACAAGGUAAGCGUAGUGCU